UACGGAGGGUGCAAGCGUUAAUCGGAUUUAUUGGGCGUAAAGGGCGCGUAGGCGGACGAAAAGUCGGACGUGAAAUCCCAGGGCUUAACCCUGGAACAGCAUCCGAAACUUUUUGUCUAGAGGGUAGGCGGAGAAAACGGAAUUCCACAAGUAGCGGUGAAAUGCGUAGAUAUGUGGAAGAACACCGGUGGCGAAGGCGGUUUUCUAGCUUAUUCCUGACGCUAAAGCGCGAAAGCAAGGGGAUCAAACAGGAUUAGAUA
This 260-nucleotide ribosomal RNA is filed under the name uncultured bacterium. Its description in RNAcentral is "partial 16S ribosomal RNA". It matches the Rfam family "Bacterial small subunit ribosomal RNA", at positions 524 to 784 of the family's 1533-position model. The record is from RNAcentral.